AUUGAACGCUGGCGGCAGGCCUAACACAUGCAAGUCGAGCGGAUGAAGGGAGCUUUCUCCUGGAUUCAGCUGCGGACGGGUGAGUAAUGCCUAGGAAUCUGCCUGGUAGUGGGGGAUAACGUCCGGAAACGGGCGCUAAUACCGCAUACGUCCUGAGGGAGAAAGUGGGGGAUCUUCGGACCUCACGCUAUCAGAUGAGCCUAGGUCGGAUUAGCUAGUUGGUGGGGUAAAGGCCUACCAAGGCGACGAUCCGUAACUGGUCUGAGAGGAUGAUCAGUCACACUGGAACUGAGACACGGUCCAGACUCCUACGGGAGGCAGCAGUGGGGAAUAUUGGACAAUGGGCGAAAGCCUGAUCCAGCCAUGCCGCGUGUGUGAAGAAGGUCUUCGGAUUGUAAAGCACUUUAAGUUGGGAGGAAGGGCAGUAAGUUAAUACCUUGCUGUUUUGACGUUACCAACAGAAUAAGCACCGGCUAACUUCGUG
This 484-nucleotide ribosomal RNA is filed under the name uncultured bacterium. Its description in RNAcentral is "partial 16S ribosomal RNA". It matches the Rfam family "Bacterial small subunit ribosomal RNA", at positions 30 to 507 of the family's 1533-position model. The record is from RNAcentral.